UAAGCAUAUCAAUAAGCGGAGGAAAAGAAACCAACAGGGAUUGCCUCAGUAACGGCGAGUGAAGUGGCAACAGCUCAAAUUUGAAAUCUGGCCUUCAGGCCCGAGUUGUAAUUUAUAGAGGAUGCUUUUGGUUAGGUGCCUUCCGAGUUCCCUGGAAUGGGACGCCAUAGAGGGUGAGAGCCCCGUCUGGUCGGAUGCCGAGCCUCUGUAAAGCUCCCUCGACGAGUCGAGUAGUUUGGGAAUGCUGCUCAAAAUGGGAGGUAUAUGUCUUCUAAAGCUAAAUACCGGGCAGAGACCGAUAGCGCACAAGUAGAGUGAUCGAAAGAUGAAAAGCACUUUGAAAAGAGAGUUAAAUAGCACGUGAAAUUGUUAAAAGGGAAGCGUUUAUGACCAGACUUGCGCCGACUGAUCAACCAGCGUUCUCGCUGGUGCACUCUGUCGGCUCAGGCCAGCAUCGGUUCGCCCCGGGGGACAAAAGCUAGGGGAAUGUGGCUCUUCGGAGUGUUAUAGCCCCUAGCAUAAUACCCUGAGGCGGACCGAGGUUCGCGCACUGCAUGGAUGCUGGCGUAAUGGUCAUCAACGACCCGUCUUGAAACACGGACCAAGGAGUCGUCUUCGUAUGCGAGUGUUCGGGUGUCAAACCCCUACGCGUAAUGAAAGUGAACGCAGGUGAGAGCUUCGGCGCAUCAUCGACCGAUCCUGAUGUUCUCGGAUGGAUUUGAGUAAGAGCAUACGGGGCCGGACCCGAAAGAAGGUGAACUAUGCUUGUAUAGGGUGAAGCCUGGGGAAACCCCGGUGGAGGCUCGCAGCGGUUCUGACGUGCAAAUCGAUCGUCAAAUAUGAGCAUGGGGCGAAGACUAAUCGAACCUUCUAGUAGCUGGUUUCCGCCGA
Molecule: ribosomal RNA, 891 nt
Filed under: Brevistachys globosa
Lineage: Eukaryota; Fungi; Ascomycota; Sordariomycetes; Hypocreales; Stachybotryaceae
Description: LSU rRNA
Rfam family: Eukaryotic large subunit ribosomal RNA
Source: RNAcentral